Molecule: ribosomal RNA, 469 nt
Filed under: uncultured bacterium
Lineage: Bacteria
Description: bacterial SSU rRNA
Rfam family: Bacterial small subunit ribosomal RNA
Source: RNAcentral
CCCUUAGAGUUUGAUCCUGGCUCAGGAUGAACGCUAGCUACAGGCUUAACACAUGCAAGUCGAGGGGCAUCAGGAAGAAAGCUUGCUUUCUUUGCUGGCGACCGGCGCACGGGUGAGUAACACGUAUCCAACCUGCCCUUUACUCGGGGAUAGCCUUUCGAAAGAAAGAUUAAUACCCGAUAGUAUAAUGAUUCCGCAUGGUUUCAUUAUUAAAGGAUUCCGGUAAAGGAUGGGGAUGCGUUCCAUUAGGUUGUUGGUGAGGUAACGGCUCACCAAGCCUUCGAUGGAUAGGGGUUCUGAGAGGAAGGUCCCCCACAUUGGAACUGAGACACGGUCCAAACUCCUACGGGAGGCAGCAGUGAGGAAUAUUGGUCAAUGGGCGUUAGCCUGAACCAGCCAAGUAGCGUGAAGGAUGAAGGCUCUACGGGUCGUAAACUUCUUUUAUAUAAGAAUAAAGUGCAGUAUGUAU